AUGAUUGACCUAAAUGAAGUACCAGAGGAAAAUAUGCCAGAGUUUGCCUUUGUUCAUGACAUGAAUAUACUUCAUCCUUUAUAUUGCACACAACAGAGCAUCCCACUUGGUGGAGCUGACAAUGCUGAGUUUGUGGCUGAAUCUCCCAACCCUGUCGCUGCACACAAUGCUUCGACACAUGUGGUGCAAACUAUGCCUACAGAUAUGGGUGCAACAAGCGAAGCAACUACACAUCCAGCGGCAGCAACAGAGACAGAUGAACACACGCUUGUUGACACUAACACCGCAGGUGGAACAGGUGGGACUGUUGGAAACAGUUUGGCAGGCUUGGUUGGUGAGAACGAUGACGAGGCAUGGUCAUAG
This 363-nucleotide ribosomal RNA is filed under the name Triticum aestivum (bread wheat). Its description in RNAcentral is "partial small subunit ribosomal RNA". The record is from RNAcentral. Lineage: Eukaryota; Viridiplantae; Streptophyta; Magnoliopsida; Poales; Poaceae.